This 433-nucleotide ribosomal RNA is filed under the name uncultured bacterium. Its description in RNAcentral is "partial 16S ribosomal RNA". It matches the Rfam family "Bacterial small subunit ribosomal RNA", at positions 29 to 507 of the family's 1533-position model. The record is from RNAcentral.
AACGAACGCUGGCGGCAUGCCUAACACAUGCAAGUCGAACGAAACCUUCGGGUCUAGUGGCGCCCGGGUGCGUAACGCGUGGGAACCUGCCCUUAGGUUUGGCAUAACUCUCCGAAAGGGGUGCUAAUACCGGAUCAUAUCUUCUGACCAAUGAUUUAUUGAAUUUGAAUGUACGCGCGUUGAAUUAGCUAGUUGGUAGGGUAAAAGCCUACCAAGGCGACCAUCCAUAGCUGGUCUGAGAGGAUGAUCAGCCACACUGGGACUGAGACACGGCCCAGACUCCUACGGGAGGGAGCAGUGGGGAAUAUUGGACAAUGGGCGAAAGCCUGAUCCAGCAAUGACGCGUGAGUGAUGAAGGCCUUAGGGUUGUAAAGCUCUUUUACCCGGGAUGAUAAUGACAGUACCGGGAGAAUAAGCUCCGGCUAACUCCGUG